CCGCGGUAAUUCCAGCUCCAAUAGCGUAUAUUAAAGUUGUUGCAGUUAAAAAGCUCGUAGUUGAAUUUUGGGUCUGGCCGGGCGGUCCGCCCUCUGGGUGAGCACUGUUCCGACGCCGGGCCUAUCCUUCUGGUGAGUCGGCAUGUCCUUUAUUGGGUGUGCCGGGGAACCAGGACCAUUACCUUGAAAAAAUUAGAGUGUUCAAAGCAGGCGUAUGCUCGGAUACAUUAGCAUGGAAUAAUGAAAUAGGACGCGUGGUGCUAUUUUGUUGGUUUCUAGAACCGCCGUAAUGAUUAAUAGGGAUAGUUGGGGGCAUUAGUAUUCAAUUGUCAGAGGUGAAAUUCUUGGAUUUAUUGAAGACUAACUUCUGCGAAAGCAUUUGCCAAGGAUGUUUUCAUUAAUCAAGAACGAAAGUUAGGGGAUCGAAGACGAUCAGAUACCGUCGUAGUCUUAACCAUAAACUAUGCCGACUAGGAAUCGGGCGAUGUUAUUCUCAUGACUCGCCCGGCGCCUUAUG
Molecule: ribosomal RNA, 517 nt
Filed under: uncultured Ambispora
Lineage: Eukaryota; Fungi; Glomeromycota; Glomeromycetes; Archaeosporales; Ambisporaceae
Description: SSU rRNA
Rfam family: Eukaryotic small subunit ribosomal RNA
Source: RNAcentral